CGUAUGCCUACAAGCAGUGGGAGGGCUAUGCCUGGGUAACCGGGAAUGCCUGACCGCGUGCCUUUUGCAUAAUGAGCCGGCUAGUUAUUCUCAGUGGCGAGGUUAAGCGUAAAGCGAGCCGUAGCGAAAGCGAGUCCGAAUGGGGCGUCCAGUCGCUGGGGAAUAGACGCGAAGCGGGAUGAUCUACCCUUGGCCAGGAUGAAGCGUGAGUAACAUCACGUGGAGGUCCGAACCAGUGUUGGUUGAAAACAGCUUGGAUGAGCUGAGGGUAGGGGUGAAAGGCUAAUCAAAUUCCGUGAUUGCCCGUUCUCCUCGAAAUGCCUUUAGGGGCAGCCUCGGAGGGUCGGCGACGGUGGUAGAGACAUGAUUGGACUAGGGGGCUUACCAGCUUACUGAAUCCAGCCAAACUUCGAAUGCCGUCGACACGUACUCCGGUAGUGAGACUGUGGGGGCU
Molecule: ribosomal RNA, 454 nt
Filed under: uncultured bacterium
Lineage: Bacteria
Description: bacterial LSU rRNA
Rfam family: Bacterial large subunit ribosomal RNA
Source: RNAcentral